This 324-nucleotide ribosomal RNA is filed under the name uncultured eukaryote. Its description in RNAcentral is "partial 18S ribosomal RNA". It matches the Rfam family "Eukaryotic small subunit ribosomal RNA", at positions 1470 to 1796 of the family's 1831-position model. The record is from RNAcentral.
CCCUUAGAUGUUCUGGGCUGCACGCGCGCUACACUGACAUGUCCAGCGAGCUCCCAACCUGCUCGGCAAAGAAUGGGUACCCUUUUUAACGCAUGUCGUGAUGGGGAUAGAUUAUUGCAAUUGUUGAUCUUGAACGAGGAAUUCCUAGUAAGUGCAAGUCAUUAGCUUGUGCUGAAUACGUCCCUGCCCUUUGUACACACCGCCCGUCGCUCCUACCGAUUGAGUGCUCCGGUGAGCUCUUCGGACUGCGCGGUCUGCAGUUUCUGCGUUCCGUGCGGAAAGUUGCGCAAACCUUAACAUUUAGAGGAAGGAGAAGUCGUAACA